GGAGGGAGAGGAGCGCGUUCGUAGGAGAGGAGUAUGGGAGCGUGCGCGAUCCAAAGGACGCGGCGGCGGUGUGCCCUCGAACAGCUGGUCGGGUCGCAGGAGGCCUAGCGGCGGCGGGGAGAGGCUUAGCGGCGGCGGGGAGAGGCUUAGCGGCGGCAGUGGCGGGGCCUAGCGGUGGAAGCGGCAACCUUAGCGACGGUUGCAGAGCAGCGGGGCCUAGCGGCAGCAGGCCUAGCGGCGGCAGCGGACCGGUACCGCCACCUCCAGCUGCCGUGGGCCUUCGCGCCCCGCCGCCGGAAGGACCUGCUGGGGAAGCUCCACGACGUCCGCUUCGCCCCGGCCACGAGUGGCAGGCGGUGGCGCCGGAGCCAGCGGCUGGAGCCGUAGUUGUACCUCAAGCUGGGGCAGUUCCGCCAGGUCAGGCAGAAGGGGCCGCGGCUAGGCGUCGAAGACGCCCCGAUAGAGCUUCGCAGCCCUUUACAGAACCUACGACGGUAGUCUUCGAAGUCCCUAAUAAACCGUAGCCUAAGUCGUUGCUGGUUACGACCACGGAGGAGUAGACCUCCUGACUUACCCGCCUUGAUUAACAGCUUCCUCUACAGCAGGCGAAGUCUAGGCUUACUGCGGUCCUUAGCUCAGAAGUCCUAUGAACUUUACAAGCUGUUUACACGGCGUUUGACGUCAUGAGGACUACUCCGCGUAUUUUACGCACUCUACUAAUAUCGUUGAUAAAACCCGACUGGAGAACGACAAGAUCGUUUUUUUUAACAUAAAACAAAAAGAGAUGCUUUCUAGUCCUGGCUUACCUAAAAACCAGAUAUAACGUUUAUACAUAUUACCUAAUAACUGUUUCCCGUGCUGCCUACCGCGGCCGCCCUUCCACUCGUCGCCACCUCUAUUCGCUCCUUUCCUCAUCACACUCCGCCAACCGCCACAACUUCUCCUACUCUCCCGGCGUGUGAGCCACGGUACGAUGACCUCCCGGGCGACGACCUCCGUCAGGAUCCCUAAAAACCUAGUUACUGUCAUUGCAACCGCUGGGUCCACUUUAAACUUUGAAGGGAACUCUCUACGAUUUCAUGAUAAAUAAACUGGCCGAACCACAUGUAACUGGAAAUGGCGGACUUACAAUACUUAAUAUAAGCACCACCUACUAUACUUACAGCCCCUCCACUACCUCUUCAUACUGCUCCUUGAACACUUCCGACUCCCGUACCUCUUCUUCCCCUCUUAGAUUCACCCUCCAACUGUAACCGCUUCCUCUUCCGAUCUACUCACAACCGUAACCGUCUGUUGCCCAGUAACGUCUACCGUAAGUGACUUAAUAAGUUCCUUAACUUCGAGGGUUUUACUAGUUUAUUUAUUCUAUCGUUACUCUGUAUCUUACAGCACAAUAAUUAAUAGAAACAGGAUUUUUUCCUACAGCACUAUCAUCAGCACGAAACGUAUAUUCAACGAAGUUGUUGAUAUAAGAACUUUACUACACGGUAUCCAUCCACCUUUUUGAUUCUUUAUGUUCGUAAGGAGACACACACACUCUCUCACGAGAUGUGCGACGGAAAUACCUAAUUUGGCCACGAGAUUAAUUUACUAUUUAACUCACAUGAAAAAAAGAAACUGGCAAUAUACUGCUUUACUUACUUGUACACUCACGAUAGGUCUAAUAGUUACUUCACGGGACUGUAUACGAUAUUUCUCUAGCACACUUUUGUUUCGACUUCAACAACGGGUCCUACUCUUCCUUUCACCAGAAGGUCGUUGUGAUUUGUACCAGUACAUAAUGUGUAUGUAUACUACUACAUACAUUACGCAGGCUAGUAACAACAAAAAAUACAGUUCAAAUUGACAGAACGCGAUACUACCAGGUACAUUUUUAUGAACCUACUCAACGGUUG
RNAcentral lists this ribosomal RNA (1895 nucleotides) under Triticum aestivum (bread wheat). RNAcentral describes it as "partial small subunit ribosomal RNA". The record is from RNAcentral. Lineage: Eukaryota; Viridiplantae; Streptophyta; Magnoliopsida; Poales; Poaceae.